UACGGGAGGCAGCAGUGAGGAAUAUUGGUCAAUGGGCGGGAGCCUGAACCAGCCAAGUAGCGUGCAGGAUGACGGCCCUAUGGGUUGUAAACUGCUUUUAUCAGGGGAUAAAGUGAGGGACGUGUCCCUUUUUGUAGGUACCUGAUGAAUAAGGACCGGCUAAU
RNAcentral lists this ribosomal RNA (164 nucleotides) under uncultured rumen bacterium. RNAcentral's name for it is "partial 16S ribosomal RNA". It matches the Rfam family "Bacterial small subunit ribosomal RNA", at positions 340 to 501 of the family's 1533-position model. The record is from RNAcentral.